AAAUCUGCUAGAGAAGUCCUGGCAUCCAUCAGCAGUCCUUUUCUUCCAUCUGGCAAUAUCAUCAGCUACAUUAACCUCUAUAAGAUUGCUGAUACAACAUAUCACCACCUGCAAGAAGGAGGUUGACUUUGAAGUGUACAAAGUGACAUACUGACUUGUAGUGACACAGAGACUCUUACUGACCUGUAGCUCAAAGAGUCUGCAUGGAAGCUGGUCAGACAGCUUGUCUGAAGGCAUUCCCUGCUACUCACUUUGUAGCCCAGCUGGAAGCCCACUGCUAAGCUGUUCUUGCACUUCCCACAGUGGUUAAUGCUUGGCCCAUAGAUGUGUUUUUUGUUGGCGUUUGUUGUUAAGCAGCCUUGUGUAAACUAACUUGGAAUCCAUUCAUGGGCCUCUGGGGAAACACAGUGUAAAAACAUACUGGUUUGAAAUGAGACUCCUCCUUAAUGUGCUUCUGCAGCUCCCGCUCUGAGGUUUACUUCUAAGGUCUUGUGUACCACUUGUUUGAGUACUUAAUUUUUAAUGCUGAGAAAACAGUCUUAGCUGAGGCUGCAGGGGGAAAAACUGAGCAGCAAUCAAGUUUAAUGGAAUAGUUCUUGAUAGAGUAAGCUUCUCAAAUAUGAAUUAGGAAUUCUGUUUUCUAUGAAUGUAUUUGUGAAAUGCCCUUGCCUCGCAGCUAAUGGAGACAAACAGAAAAAGAAAUGUAUAAGAUGGAUAUUUUCUCAAAGUGUUUUCACUACUUAAUGCUAUGAGAAUAUUGUUUGUUUUUUUCUCCUGCUUAGAAAACAAACUGGAGUGAGAAGGGUACACACUUCUAUUCUUCUGAUGUCAUUGUGAUGUAUCAUGGCAUGUAAAACUGAUCAGCUUGUUUCCAUGAUCUGGUUUAAUUUGUCCCUGAUGUGUUUUGAUGUGUUUUGGAAGAAUGGUUGAAGAGCAGAGUUCUAAAACUUGUUUGCCAACCAGUGUAUUAUCAGUUAAGGACUGGUAACAGUUCAGGAAAAAAAUUAGGCCCCAAAAAAACCCAGGAGGCUGAACCUCUAUCCAUAUCAGCAUAUCCGUUAACUUUGUUUGCUGGGAUUUUGCUUGGCAAGUGUGUUUGUUAAUUGACUGCAGUCACAAUCUGGCUGAGUGGUCUGGUUUUGUGUCUCGGCUGCAUAAAACAUCAGAACACCAAACUGGAUAACUGUGGUCAAACGCAUUUACUAAUUCUCUGAAGAUGUAUCUUUCUUCUUGACCUCUCUUUCUUGAAACUUGAUUUAUGAAAAAUUAGUAUAUAAGAAAAUAAGGCCUCUUGUUCUAUGUAAGUCUGAUAAAAGCUAUUUUAUGAGAGUAAUAAUUAAAAAUAAUAAUUUCUACACAUAUGAAAAACAACUUUCAUGUAGUCUAUCCAGUACUGGAUAUUAACAUAUGCUUUUGGAGGAGACAGAACAUUUAACUUUAUUAUGCAUGUGUUGUGUGUGAAGCUGUUUUAAAAGCAGUGUUUCUGGGCAGCGUAAGUAACUUAAGGCUUUGUGUCACUCAACAGUUGUUCCAUCAUCUUAAAUUUGUCAUGUAGUGAGAUUUUUGUAUAUUUUAGUUUUAUUGGUUUCCUUAAACAUCAGUGAUGCCAGAUCUGUUGCCUUAUAGGCUAAUAAGCUGUCCAUGUGUAGCCUUUCCUUGAAUAAAGGAGAUUGACUGAAUCUAAA
Agelaius phoeniceus (red-winged blackbird) is the source of this 1685-nucleotide long non-coding RNA. RefSeq lists it as uncharacterized. NCBI's taxonomy places the organism in Eukaryota, Metazoa, Chordata, Aves, Passeriformes, Icteridae. The record is from RefSeq and is a predicted model, not a curated record.